This 2022-nucleotide long non-coding RNA is filed under the name Coffea arabica (coffee). RNAcentral describes it as "long non-coding RNA (CARA_LNC002747)". The record is from RNAcentral. Lineage: Eukaryota; Viridiplantae; Streptophyta; Magnoliopsida; Gentianales; Rubiaceae.
AAAUGGGCAUCCAUCCACCUUCGGUGAUAACAACACUUGCACAUGCACAGAUUUGCAGGUUGAUAAAUAAGCAAUAUGACAAUAGCUCUCUCUCUCUCUCUCAGCCAAGAAAGCAUUUUCAUAACCUGCAAAUUCUUAUUCUUAAUCAGUCAACUCCCUUUAUCCUGUCUCUAUGUGUAAUUCUAUGAUAGAUUCAAUGAUUUUUCAUAUACUGAGAAAUGUUCUGCAGAUUAAUAACGCCAAUCAAGAUUUGCCAGUCAGUAAAGAAAUAUGCUCUUCUCCCUUUCUGUUCUGUUAAUCACAGCUCACUAGAUUCUGUUGCAGACAAAUUCUGCAACCAAGCAUACGAAGCCUCCGGUACCAAGUUCGCACCACUUUUUCAAGUCAUUUCGUUCUUUCCUUUUCUUUCUUUUCCCUGCUUUAAAGUGAGGUAACCAUACCAACUAAUCAAUGGAGUUGGUCCAAUUAAUGGUCAGGAAAGGGCUCUUAGAGUUUUUCCUGCUGUCUCUCUGGUUCAGAGUUUGAAUCUUGUGUACGUGGCAAUAGAGGUGGAGAGACUAUUGUUUUCUUGGCGCCAUUCUGGGCGAUCAAAAGUUCUGGGAUAUGAUCAAGAAAGAAAGGUGACACAGACAAAAAGAGUAUAUUGAAUCAUUUGCCUUCCACUACAAAGCUAUAGUACUAAACAGGUACCUUUGAGAACAAUGAUAUAGUAUAUGUUAAAGGAGUAUUGGAGAAUAAUAACGACAUCCACAUACUCACCAAUCCUGCUGCAGAUUUUAAACAUCAUAGGAAUGCUAUUAUUAGGUAAUGCAUCGCUAUCAAUUCACGUGAACUCUCCCUCACAAAAAACACAAAUACAAACAUCUCGAAAGAAAAGCUGAAUGCAUGAAUGCAAUUCAUUGUACCAAGUUGCUGUGGCGUACACAAUAAUACAAUAUUGUGUACAAAAAUCUAUAUAUAUAUAUAUAUGGUUAUCAGAAGUCCUUGUCUUCUUUUUCCAUCACUGUCCUGUGUCCAUAUUAGAGAUUAGCAAAGCAAAAGUUGUAGGCCUGGUGGUCACCACCAGUCUUGGUAGAGACCCUUGAUCUCCCACUAACUACCACUUUAUGUGACAGACUGACUUAAUUAGCUUUCUUCGAUGAGAUCUCGGACUCACGUUGAGUCCCUCUCCCUUUCCUCUAAAUUAGGUUAUAAAAAUUUUACCGUUUUAAAAAAAAAAACAAUGACACAAUCACACUAGUCUUGGAUGUGUCAUAGAAUCUAUUACAAGGAUGGAGAAUUAUAAUAAUAAUAAUAAUGGCACAAUCGCAAAGUUGAGGGAAAGCUUUAUUAUUAUUUUUUCUUCCAUUUUGAUUCUUUUGCUUAAGAGGUCCGAAAUCUCAACAGUACAUCAGUAAUUUUUAUGAGCACGAGGGAAAAGAGAUUUUUCAAGUAGCAUGAAGAUUAAGGUAAGCUUAGGCCAAAACAAGUGAAUGGUGUAAAUGUUGGGAAUCUAUUCUCUUGCGUAUUCUUCUCUAAUUUAAACAACAAAGCAAUUUCUCUUCUGCAAUCAAAUUUUUUGUGCAUUUGCAAAUCAAGCAACUACACUGAGGCGAGGAACUACAAAAUUUAUAACUUGCAGUAUUAAUUUCAUAGGUGGAAAUGGUGGGACCAUUUCCAUCCACCACUGGUCCAUCAACAUUUACACACAAUUAAUGUCCACCCAUACUAACAAUUAAAGUAUGUAUACUCCUCCCCCACUCCUCACAGUUUUCCAACUUUAAUUCUGGAAAGCUUUUUCUUUUUUUUUUUUUUUUUUUUUGGGUAAACCUUAAAUCUGCAAUUACCAGCUUAUAAUUACGAUUGAAAUUUAAACACUAAAUAUUUGCACCAAAUGUACUACUAACAUUUAUUGGGGCUAAAACCAAACUGCCUGUUAGCCAGGUCGAAACUGACACGUGUCCCUUGCUGCUGCACAUUACCGAUAAUGGACAGUGAACUCGUCGGAGCAAAUGCCAAACAAAAUUUCCCCCGCCCAUCAAC